Molecule: long non-coding RNA, 849 nt
Organism: Pezoporus occidentalis (night parrot)
Lineage: Eukaryota; Metazoa; Chordata; Aves; Psittaciformes; Psittacidae
Exons: 3
Source: RefSeq, a predicted model, not a curated record
CUGGUGCAACUUUGGGUGACAGUAGUUUCCUUUCUAGCUCUGAACUGAAGGAACUACAGAAGAAAGGUCCUUUGAAAAAAAGCUUGUAAAGACAUCCUAGAGAUUUGACAUGGUAGCUGAAUCACACCUUGGUAUUCCUGCAGAUGGCAGUGGUACAUGUUCUUGACAUGGGACACCUCCAAAAGUUACGCUGUUUGCUUUCUGAAAAGUGGUGAAGUUACAGCUCUUGCUGUAGUAAGAAAUAUUUUCUUGGAGUUCCGCUUUAGGACUUACAGCAGAUUGUAUGACUGCGUGCCUAACACCAGCCAAAAAAGUGCCUUCCUGAAGAUACAUCCAAAAGGAAAAGUAGGAACUCUGAUAUGGGUAAAGGCUGUCUGAAAGGAGAGAAGCAGCGAGAACCAAAUCUGAGCAAGGUAUUUGGGACACUGAAAUCUAGACUAAAGACAAACACAGGCUAUCCAAAGUUGUGCUGUACAUAUGCUAAAUACCAGCUGCUUUCUCACAGUAUUUUUGAUAAGGACAGCUAAAUAAGGGCAUGGAGAAGUGCAAGGCUGUUUUAACUAUCCUUUUAUAUGUCUUUAGAUAUGUAUUUUUUUAAUCUUAAUAUUUAAGUAUAUAACUGUAUGUGUAUAACUUCUGGGGCUACAUCUGGGAUUUAAAUUGGACAUGCCUUUUUAGGUUUGAGUUUGUUCACUGGGUGGAUCUUUCCAAAGAGAGCUAAUGCCACUGUUAAUUAAAGAGCUCAUCAGUCCUGUGUGACAAUCUCAGCUUUUAGUAACAGCAGCAGGAAUUAAUAUUGUCAUCUUAGCUGUUCUGAUGCUGGUUUAAAAUAAAAGGCUGAAAUAUUAA